Molecule: non-coding RNA, 2580 nt
Organism: Vicugna pacos (alpaca)
Lineage: Eukaryota; Metazoa; Chordata; Mammalia; Artiodactyla; Camelidae
Source: RefSeq, a predicted model, not a curated record
GAUCGUGGCUGGUCAUUCAGCAAUGUAACCCAAAUCACAGGGGAAGACCUUGAAAUAUCUGGAGAGACUGAUCUGCUCUGAAUACUCUCAAUCCAAAGAAGUGCCAGGGAGCUGCAUCUGCUUGCUGAAAUUUUUGUCAGCUUUUUUUCACUGUGGACAAUAAAGCUGGAGAGAAAAGAACCAAAUAACCCAACAGGAAAUGAAGAUGGGCUCAAGAGUUGAUUUGUGGUCAUCUGAAGCCCACAUAUCCAAGGCUUGCUGGACCUAUCAGACUUUUCGACUUGUCAGAUUAACAACAACCAUCAGAAGACCUAGAAGAGUACAGUGUUGCUGUGACUCUGGUGUAUAAUGCAGACCAUCUACCAGUUGGGGAAGGAAUCAUUUGUAACAGGAACAAAAGGAGUCAUUCCUUAUUUUAACUGUUGCGGUGAAGAUGGGUUUUUGGACUUUUAGAAGCCAGGAGACACCACCUGAACUACAAGACAAGCCAAGGACUGAUGCACACUGGAGAAGAGAAUGCUUAGUACUUGAAGAUUGAAUACUGAAUACCUGCUGAAUGCUUCUAUUGAGAUUUUUCUUAAACAUCAGUAACAUUUUAGGACUGAUUCAUUGGAGAUACACUGAUCUCUGGGUGGAGUAUCCUACCAUUGGCCAAUCUGAAGAGUUAAUUCUGGAUUUGACGCUCUUCUCUACGAGGAAUAUUGUUAGGCUAGCUUUUAAUGAGCCCCUAAACAACUGUAAUCAUUAAUUGACCCAAUAGUUCUUCAAGUAUCAGAUUAAAAGAUGAACAGAUAUAAUUCUUACCUAGAUAAAACUUUUAUCCAUAUUAAAGACAAAAGUUUUCUAAUAUUUAACUGAAAAUGUAACAUGUUUUCUUUUAGUUUGUUAAUGACAGUGGUUUCCAUUUUAAAGCUGUUUGGAUAUUCAAUAUAGUACAAGUUUCCCCUGCUAUCUGAAAAUAGAGCAUUCCAGUGAAAUUUUUUGUAAGCUAAAAUGCUGUAAAGUGAAGAAAUAAUUACCUUAGGAUACCUCUUGCCAAUAAAUCAAGGUAACGCACAGAUGCUCACAGACACUGUUCCAAGCUGUGGGCCCCUUGAGGCUGAGGGUAUUUCCCAGGGAAGGAACUUGGCAGUGCCACUCACUACUCAGGGCACAUGCUACCUCUGUAAUGACUUGCUAUAAAACACUGAACACUAUGUUCGUUUUUUACUUUCUUUCUUAAAAUCAAGUAUCCUUUGGAUUUCCAGUUAGUGAAACAGGUAAUAAUGUAGGUCUUUUGUAUAAAGUGAAGUGGGAUAAGGUGAAAUUUUGACAAGUAGGAGAUAUCUAUAAUUAAAUAAUUCAGUAUAAUGUAUAAGAAAGCUAUGGGAAAAGAAAGUCCAAGAGUUUAAGAGUUGUGAAAACAUUCUUACGUGUGUGCGUGUGUGUGUAUAUAAUACAUAUAUGUAUAAGUUAUUCUUAUGUGCAGUACUUGGAACCAAUUGCUCAUUGGGAUAAAGUCAUUGUUAUUUAGCUAAUCCAUAGUUUUAAUUUGUUUUAAAAUACUCUUGUAUCUUAACAUUGGAACUAAGUUGUAGGAUAUGGUUAGAUUUUUAAAUUUUAAUUCAGGUUGAUUUGACAAUCUCUUUGUGCUUGUGUUGUUAAUCCUAUUUAAUAAUAUGCAUCAAAUAGGUAAUAUCCCUGUGGUAAAGUACAUUUUCAGAAAAUUUCAUUAUCUUUCAUUUUUGGCCUUUGCUUUACUUGGUCAGGCAACAAAGAUCUAUUUUGCAUCUACCCUGUUAGGCACUAUGGAGAGAUAGAGAAGUUCGAUACUCACAUCUUUGUUCUCGAGGCUUGUCACACUAUAUUUUCUAAAUAAACAAAGAUGACUUUCUGCCCUUAAAUGAAAAACCUCCUAGUUAACAAGUGGGAGAAUAUUUACCAAGAAAUGAUCUGUAAUUGUUUGGUAUUAUCUUUGAAAAAACCAAGGCAUAAAUGCUUGAGAAGUAAAUUACAGAAGUAUUUUUCCCACAAAGCACGUUGGAGAUAGUCUGGCAAAUGUUGAAGUACAAGAAAAGAAGCAUCUUCUGAUUGACAAAAACGUGGUUUGUGCAAAAGGAAGUGAGCAAUCAGAGUGGGCUAAAAUGAGCUGUAAAUUAGGUUGGCUUUAAGAGAAGGGGUUGGACCUAGGGGCAUUGAAACCUUAAAGAAGGACUGUAGGUGAGAGAUGUUGAUGAGAUUUUCAGGAUAUUGAGAGACAGGCAUAUUUUCUCUACCUUUAGCCACAGAUAAAGCUUGUAGUUAAUAGAGAGUCGUAUUUUCUCUGAUUGCCUUUAGCUGUGGAUAGAACAUGCAGCCAUUAUUUAUCUGAAGCAGACUUGUACUCAAACCUGCCCUUAUGUGGAAACCCUAAGGUCUAAUUUGUGGGAAAGGUGUGUUUAUAAGGGGGAAGCUUGAAGAAAAUCCCAAAAAACCUCACUUGUUUACAUUUUUGAAUCAGUGAUAAAACCUAGUCUUUUUAAUAUAACUGAGAGAAGUAAAGAAUUUUUAAAGAUCUAAGGUUUCUGUGUAGAAAUCUUAUCAGAUGUGUGUUCAGUGGAA